GGCGGCAGGCUUAACACAUGCAAGUCGAGCGCUCGUAGCAAUACGGGAGCGGCAGACGGGAGAGUAACACGUGGGAACGUACCUUUCGGUUCGGAAUAACCCAGGGAAACUUGGGCUAAUACCGGAUACGUCCGUAAGGAGAAAGAUUUAUCGCCGGAAGAUCGGCCCGCGUCCGAUUAGCUAGUUGGUGUGGUAAUGGCGCACCAAGGCGACGAUCGGUAGCUGGUCUGAGAGGAUGAUCAGCCUCACUGGGACUGAGACACGGCCCAGACUCCUACGGGAGGCAGCAGUGGGGAAUAUUGGACAAUGGGCGCAAGCCUGAUCCAGCCAUGCCGCGUGGGUGAUGAAGGCCUUAGGGUUGUAAAGCCCUUUCGGCGGGGAAGAUAAUGACGGUACCCGCAGAAGAAGCCCCGGCUAACUUCGUGCCAGCAGCCGCGGUAAUACGAAGGGGGCUAGCGUUGCUCGGAAUCACUGGGCGUAAAGCGCACGUAGGCGGAUCUUUAAGUCAGGGGUGAUAUCCUGGAGCUCAACUCCAGAACUGCCUUUGAUACUG
This 553-nucleotide ribosomal RNA is filed under the name uncultured bacterium. RNAcentral's name for it is "bacterial SSU rRNA". It matches the Rfam family "Bacterial small subunit ribosomal RNA", at positions 38 to 635 of the family's 1533-position model. The record is from RNAcentral.